This 225-nucleotide ribosomal RNA is filed under the name uncultured bacterium. RNAcentral's name for it is "partial 16S ribosomal RNA". It matches the Rfam family "Bacterial small subunit ribosomal RNA", at positions 1261 to 1500 of the family's 1533-position model. The record is from RNAcentral.
UGUGAAGCAAAUCGCACCAAAGCCAGUCCCAGUUCGGAUAAGAGGCUGAAACUCGCCUCUUUGAAGUCGGAAUCGCUAGUAAUCGCAGAUCAGCAUGUUGCGGUGAAUACGUUCCCGGGUCUUGUACACACCGCCCGUCAAACCAUGAGAGUCACCAACACCCGAAGUCCGCCUUGGCGGCCUAAGGUGGGGGAGAUGAUUGGGGUUAAGUCGUAACAAGGUACC